AUACUUACCUGGACAGGGUCAAUGGGUGAUCAAGAAGGCCCAUGGCCUAGGUUGGUGACCUCCAUUGCACUUAGGAGGGGUGCCUGCCUAUGGUCUCCUCAAGUAGGAGAGCCAAUGUCAUAAUUUGUUGCCGAGGGGGCUUGCGUUCGCGCAGCCCCUAC
Small nuclear RNA from Prunus persica (peach), 161 nucleotides. It matches the Rfam family "U1 spliceosomal RNA". From Rfam's summary of the family: U1 is a small nuclear RNA (snRNA) component of the spliceosome (involved in pre-mRNA splicing). Its 5' end forms complementary base pairs with the 5' splice junction, thus defining the 5' donor site of an intron. The record is from Rfam. NCBI's taxonomy places the organism in Eukaryota, Viridiplantae, Streptophyta, Magnoliopsida, Rosales, Rosaceae.